This 74-nucleotide transfer RNA is filed under the name Triticum aestivum (bread wheat). It matches the Rfam family "tRNA". From Rfam's summary of the family: Transfer RNA (tRNA) molecules are approximately 80 nucleotides in length. Their secondary structure includes four short double-helical elements and three loops (D, anti-codon, and T loops). Further hydrogen bonds mediate the characteristic L-shaped molecular structure. tRNAs have two regions of fundamental functional importance: the anti-codon, which is responsible for specific mRNA codon recognition, and the 3' end, to which the tRNAs corresponding amino acid is attached (by aminoacyl-tRNA synthetases). tRNAs cope with the degeneracy of the genetic code in two manners: having more than one tRNA (with a specific anti-codon) for a particular amino acid; and 'wobble' base-pairing, i.e. permitting non-standard base-pairing at the 3rd anti-codon position. Lineage: Eukaryota; Viridiplantae; Streptophyta; Magnoliopsida; Poales; Poaceae. RNAcentral also lists the same sequence under 2 other names. The record is from Rfam by way of RNAcentral.
AGCGGGGUAGAGGAAUUGGUCAACUCAUCAGGCUCAUGACCUGAAGACUGCAGGUUCGAAUCCUGUCCCCACCU